This 73-nucleotide transfer RNA is filed under the name Ixodes scapularis (black-legged tick). It matches the Rfam family "tRNA". Rfam says of the family: Transfer RNA (tRNA) molecules are approximately 80 nucleotides in length. The record is from Rfam by way of RNAcentral. Lineage: Eukaryota; Metazoa; Arthropoda; Arachnida; Ixodida; Ixodidae.
CCCUCGUUAGCCGAGUCGAUAGAGCGCUCCACUUGUAAUGGAGAGGUCCCGGGUUCGAUACCCCGACCAGGCG